This 449-nucleotide ribosomal RNA is filed under the name uncultured bacterium. RNAcentral describes it as "partial 16S ribosomal RNA". It matches the Rfam family "Bacterial small subunit ribosomal RNA", at positions 29 to 523 of the family's 1533-position model. The record is from RNAcentral.
AACGAACGCUGGCGGCAUGCCUAAUACAUGCAAGUCGAACGAGAUCUUCGGAUCUAGUGGCGCACGGGUGCGUAACGCGUGGGAAUCUGCCCUUGGGUUCGGAAUAACUUCGGGAAACUGAAGCUAAUACCGGAUGAUGACGUAAGUCCAAAGAUUUAUCGCCCAAGGAUGAGCCCGCGUAGGAUUAGCUAGUUGGUAAGGUAAAGGCUUACCAAGGCGACGAUCCCUAGCUGGUCUGAGAGGAUGAUCAGCCACACUGGGACUGAGACACGGCCCAGACUCCUACGGGAGGCAGCAGUAGGGAAUAUUGGACAAUGGGGGCAACCCUGAUCCAGCAAUGCCGCGUGAGUGAUGAAGGCCUUAGGGUUGUAAAGCUCUUUUACCCGGGAUGAUAAUGACAGUACCGGGAGAAUAAGCCCCGGCUAACUCCGUGCCAGCAGCCGCCGUAA